Molecule: ribosomal RNA, 137 nt
Filed under: uncultured Trebouxiophyceae
Lineage: Eukaryota; Viridiplantae; Chlorophyta; Trebouxiophyceae
Description: partial small subunit ribosomal RNA
Rfam family: Eukaryotic small subunit ribosomal RNA
Source: RNAcentral
CGCCCGUCGCUCCUACCGAUUGGAUGUGCUGGUGAAAUGUUGGGAUUGGCGGCAUCGAGCGGUUCGCUGCUUCUUGCUGCCGAGAACUUCAUUAAACCCUCCCAUCUAGAGGAAGGAGAAGUCGUAACAAGGUUUCC